This 465-nucleotide ribosomal RNA is filed under the name uncultured bacterium. RNAcentral's name for it is "partial 16S ribosomal RNA". It matches the Rfam family "Bacterial small subunit ribosomal RNA", at positions 29 to 523 of the family's 1533-position model. The record is from RNAcentral.
AACGAACGCUGGCGGCAUGCCUAACACAUGCAAGUCGAACGAUUAUGGAACUAGCUUGCUAGAACCCAGAUAGUGGCAGACGGGUGAGUAACGCGUGGGAAUCUUCCUAGUAGUACGGAAUAGCCGUUGGAAACGACGAAUAAUACCGUAUAUUCCCUGAGGGGGAAAGAUUUAUCGCUAAUAGAUGAGCCCGCAUUAGAUUAGCUAGUUGGUAGGGUAAUGGCCUACCAAGGCAAUGAUCUAUAGCUGGUAUGAGAGGACGACCCGCCACACUGGAACGGAGAUACGGUCCAGACUCCUACGGGAGGCAGCAGUGGGGAAUAUUGGACAAUGGGCGAAAGCCUGAUCCAGCAAUGCCGCGUGAGUGAAGAAGGCCUUAGGGUUGUAAAGCUCUUUUAGUAGGGAAGAUAAUGACGGUACCUACAGAAAAAGCACCGGCUAACUCCGUGCCAGCAGCCGCAGUAA